GGGUUGUGAGGUUAAGCGACUAAGCGUACACGGUGGAUGCCCUGGCAGUCAGAGGCGAUGAAGGGCGUGCUAAUCUGCGAUAAGCGCCGGUAAGGUGAUAUGAACCGUUAUAACCGGCGAUACCCGAAUGGGGAAACCCAGUGUGACUCGUCACACUAUCAUUAACUGAAUCCAUAGGUUAAUGAGGCGAACCGGGGGAACUGAAACAUCUAAGUACCCCGAGGAAAAGAAAUCAACCGAGAUUCCCCCAGUAGCGGCGAGCGAACGGGGAGGAGCCCAGAGCCUGAAUCAGCAUGUGUGUUAGUGGAAGCGUCUGGAAAGGCGCGCGAUACAGGGUGAUAG
This 342-nucleotide ribosomal RNA is filed under the name Salmonella enterica. RNAcentral's name for it is "partial 23S ribosomal RNA". It matches the Rfam family "Bacterial large subunit ribosomal RNA", at positions 1 to 370 of the family's 2925-position model. The record is from RNAcentral. Lineage: Bacteria; Pseudomonadati; Pseudomonadota; Gammaproteobacteria; Enterobacterales; Enterobacteriaceae.